RNAcentral lists this long non-coding RNA (495 nucleotides) under Trifolium pratense (red clover). RNAcentral's name for it is "long non-coding RNA (TPRA_LNC001102)". The record is from RNAcentral. Lineage: Eukaryota; Viridiplantae; Streptophyta; Magnoliopsida; Fabales; Fabaceae.
CGAGUCAAAACAAACUGACACAAAUUAAAAAUAUCAAACUUAACCAGAUCAAAGAGACAAAUGACCGAAUAAAUCAUGUCAAAGUGGUAACUUGCACCAGCCUAUCAAAAUUUUCCACAACCAAUAUCAUAGUUCAAAUAAGAAAUUUCAAUUUACUUGAAACUCAUACCCGACAACUCUGACUAAGAAACAUUACCCACGCAGGUCACAGAAUCAUAACAUCCACCAUCCACUUAACAGACCGAACAAAACAUAUAGAGAUGCAGUUGAACAAAUCAAACAGAAUGACAAUCAACCAAUUCGGACGACUAGCAAACAUGUUCUCAAACUAUUGAGAACUCAAAGCGGAAGCAACCAAUGAUUCAAGGUGGAUCGAAACUAGCUCUCGAUACCAUGUUAGAAUUAAAGAUACAAACUAAGAAUAACAAAGGAGGCAAUUAGGGUUACAUAAAAUUAGAAUUGCAUUGCUUGACAAAAUAAGGAUUACAAGACAAU